UGAGUAAAUGGUUAUUUAUUUUAUCUAUAUUUAAUGCUUUAUAUAUGUAUAGCAGGAUUUAAUGUGACAGAAAAUCUGAAAAAUAUUGUAAAAUUUUUCUAGGAACUAAACAAGGCCCGGUCAUAAACCAGAAGAUCAGCUACCGUACCACCAUCCAAUUAGACUGCUCGAAUAAAAGUUUUACAGAAAACACCUACAGUUUUUGCAAAGUACUGCAACACGUAUUUAGGCCUUGGCCUUGUUUAGAUGUGAAAAAGAUUUGGAUUUCGCUACUGUAGCACUUUCGUUUGUUUGUGGUAAAUAUUGUUCAAUCAUAGAGUAACUAAGGUCAAAAGAUUCGUCUCGCGAUUUACAGUCAAGUGUGAUUAGUUUUUAUUUUCGUCUAUAUUUAAUGCUUUG
Molecule: long non-coding RNA, 399 nt
Filed under: Sorghum bicolor (sorghum)
Lineage: Eukaryota; Viridiplantae; Streptophyta; Magnoliopsida; Poales; Poaceae
Description: long non-coding RNA (SBIC_LNC015076)
Source: RNAcentral